GCCUGGCUGUCUUCCUGCCGCCACUGGAGUCCCUUCCUGCGAGUGAGCUGCUCGCCCUCUUCUUUCUCUGCUCUGGAUCUGCCACCACGAACUGAAGGGCCACUGGAGCUGGGGGGUCUACAGCCCUGAUUUACCAUUCCAGAGAUGAGUGAACCUACUCAGGACCCCACUGGAGUUAAGGGAUCUCGUGCACUGCACUUUGCAGGAAGAGGGCCGCAACUUGCUCUCUUCCUGCCGUCACACAUUCUCAUGAUUUCUUCAUGCAAGGAUUUGGGGGAAUACACACGGCUCCUCCUUUCCACCAUCUGCCUGAGAACUUCACCUCAGCGGAGGGGAGUUGUACCUUUUCUGCCGGAACCUGAAAUUCUCAACUUUCCAGAGUCCAUUUAGUGGAAGACUGUUCUCUAAGUACUGGAGACCUUGAGCGUGAACGGUAUCUUCUGGAUGGGGCUGCCCUUGCCCUUGAACGGUGAUAACCAUCUGAC
Grus americana (Whooping crane) is the source of this 485-nucleotide long non-coding RNA. RefSeq lists it as uncharacterized. The transcript has 3 exons. The record is from RefSeq and is a predicted model, not a curated record. Lineage: Eukaryota; Metazoa; Chordata; Aves; Gruiformes; Gruidae.